AUCAGUGUUGGUUGCAUGAACAGAU
RNAcentral lists this non-coding RNA (25 nucleotides) under Mus musculus (house mouse). Lineage: Eukaryota; Metazoa; Chordata; Mammalia; Rodentia; Muridae. The record is from RNAcentral.